UUCUUAUCCAGAGAGGUGGAGGGACUGGCCCUUUGAAGCCUCGGCAACAGACCGUCAAGGUACUGUGCCAAUUCCAGCAGGCUGUUUGUAAGCUUGAAAGAUAAGAA
This 107-nucleotide non-coding RNA is filed under the name Bacillus sp. (in: firmicutes). RNAcentral's name for it is "Bacillus sp. SAM-I sequence". It matches the Rfam family "SAM riboswitch aptamer (S box leader)". Rfam says of the family: The SAM riboswitch is found upstream of a number of genes which code for proteins involved in methionine or cysteine biosynthesis in Gram-positive bacteria. The SAM riboswitch acts at the level of transcription termination control. Lineage: Bacteria; Bacillati; Bacillota; Bacilli; Caryophanales; Bacillaceae. The record is from RNAcentral.